AACGAACGCUGGCGGCAUGCCUAACACAUGCAAGUCGAACGAGACCUUCGGGUCUAGUGGCGCACGGGUGCGUAACGCGUGGGAACCUGCCCUUAGGUUCGGAAUAAUUCCCCGUAAGGGGUGCUAAUACCGGAUAAUGUCUUCGGACCAAAGAUUUAUCGCCUUUGGAUGGGCCCGCGUUGGUUUAGCGAGUUGGUAGGGUAAAAGCCUACCAAGGCGACGAUCCUUAGCUGGUGUGAGAGGAUGAUCAGCCACACUGGGACUGAGACACGGCCCAGACUCCUACGGAAGGCAGCAGUGGGGAAUAUUGGACAAUGGGCGAAAGCCUGAUCCAGCAAUGCCGCGUGAGUGAUGAAGGCCUUAGGGUUGUAAAGCUCUUUGACCCGAGAUGAUAAUGACAGUACCGGGAGAAUAAGCACCGGCUAACUCCGUG
RNAcentral lists this ribosomal RNA (433 nucleotides) under uncultured bacterium. Its description in RNAcentral is "partial 16S ribosomal RNA". It matches the Rfam family "Bacterial small subunit ribosomal RNA", at positions 29 to 507 of the family's 1533-position model. The record is from RNAcentral.